GCUCUGAAUAUCUAUGGCUCUAUGGCUAGAUAAAGUACAAGUCGUAACAAGGCUUCAGUUGGAGAACCAGCUGAAG
This 76-nucleotide ribosomal RNA is filed under the name Enterocytozoon bieneusi. Its description in RNAcentral is "partial small subunit ribosomal RNA". The record is from RNAcentral. Lineage: Eukaryota; Fungi; Microsporidia; Enterocytozoonidae.